CAAGAACUGGCUCUCCAGCUGCGGCUGCCCGGUCGCCUCCCUGCUCCUCUCAGCUCUAGUGAGAAACAGCUCUUAGAUAAAGCUCCUUUGAAGCCGGCAACUCUCUGUUGUGCCAAACCUGAUUGAAAGAUAACUGACUACAAUCCACCGCACACGUGUCAAGCACACCAUUUGGACAAGCCUCGGCUCAUCCCCGUUUUUCGUGGUGAAGGGCUUCUGGCGGAGAGAGGGAGGGGUUGCCAGGAAAGAAAAUCCACUGGGUGAUGAUUCAAAACAUUCUCUCACUACAAAGUCACUCUGCACCUACAAUUUUGGAGGGAAGACUGGACUCUGAGCACCGUGCUGGGAACUAGGGGUAUCACAGUGAAUGAGACAGACACCACCCCGAUCCCUGAGUGACAGUCCAGCUAGGAAUCCAUGCAUUGAUUAUGACUGGGGUGCGCCUCAGCAGAGAGAGUGCUGAGGAGAGAAUAAAAAG
RNAcentral lists this long non-coding RNA (478 nucleotides) under Equus caballus (horse). RNAcentral's name for it is "lncRNA (ENSECAG00000051268.1)". The record is from RNAcentral. Lineage: Eukaryota; Metazoa; Chordata; Mammalia; Perissodactyla; Equidae.